This 256-nucleotide ribosomal RNA is filed under the name uncultured bacterium. RNAcentral describes it as "partial 16S ribosomal RNA". It matches the Rfam family "Bacterial small subunit ribosomal RNA", at positions 521 to 776 of the family's 1533-position model. The record is from RNAcentral.
UAAUACGGAGGGUGCAAACGUUGCUCGGAAUUAUUGGGCGUAAAGCGCACGUAGGCGGUUCGUUAUGUCGGAUGUGAAAGCCCUGGGCUUAACCCAGGAAGUGCAUCCGAAACUGGCGAGCUUGAGUACGGAAGAGGGUCUCGGAAUUCCCGGUGUAGAGGUGAAAUUCGUAGAUAUCGGGAGGAACACCAGUGGCGAAGGCGGAGACCUGGGCCGAUACUGACGCUGAGGUGCGAAAGCGUGGGGAGCAAACAGG